GCCCGGAUGGUGAAAUUGGUAGACACGCUAGGUUCAGGGUCUAGUGGCCGCAAGGCUGUGGAGGUUCGAGUCCUCUUCCGGGCA
This 84-nucleotide transfer RNA is filed under the name Spirochaetaceae bacterium. Its description in RNAcentral is "tRNA-Leu". It matches the Rfam family "tRNA". Rfam says of the family: Transfer RNA (tRNA) molecules are approximately 80 nucleotides in length. Their secondary structure includes four short double-helical elements and three loops (D, anti-codon, and T loops). Further hydrogen bonds mediate the characteristic L-shaped molecular structure. tRNAs have two regions of fundamental functional importance: the anti-codon, which is responsible for specific mRNA codon recognition, and the 3' end, to which the tRNAs corresponding amino acid is attached (by aminoacyl-tRNA synthetases). tRNAs cope with the degeneracy of the genetic code in two manners: having more than one tRNA (with a specific anti-codon) for a particular amino acid; and 'wobble' base-pairing, i.e. permitting non-standard base-pairing at the 3rd anti-codon position. Lineage: Bacteria; Pseudomonadati; Spirochaetota; Spirochaetia; Spirochaetales; Spirochaetaceae. RNAcentral also lists the same sequence under 1 other name. The record is from RNAcentral.